UAUUAGGUUGGUGCAAAAGUAAUUGCGGUUUUUGCCACUGAAAGUAUUGGCAAAAACUGCAAUUACUUUUGCACCAACCUAAUA
MicroRNA precursor from Pan troglodytes (chimpanzee), 84 nucleotides. It matches the Rfam family "mir-548 microRNA precursor family". The record is from Rfam. NCBI's taxonomy places the organism in Eukaryota, Metazoa, Chordata, Mammalia, Primates, Hominidae.